AUGUAUCCGUGCAACUGGACCGGCGUCACCUGCGGCGACACUCGGUCACGCCGAGGAACCAUGGUGAAGGUCAUCAGUGGAAUCUCGCUCGGCGGUGCCGGCAUUGCAGGGCGGCUGGACGCCCUGAGUUUCCAGUCACUCCCUUACCUCGUCAACCUCGACCUCAGCGACAACUACCAUCUCUCCGGUGCCAUCCCUCCAGGCAUCGGCUCUCUUUCCAUGCUUUCCACCCUCAACUUCUCUGGUGAUCAGCUCGUCGGGCACAUACCUGCAUCAAUCUGCAAUCUUGGGAGGCUUGUAGAAAUGGACCUCUCCAGCAACAAUCUCACUGGCCAAAUUCCUCCUGCCUUGGGCAAUCUUUCAGUAAUUGCUGUUCUCUAUCUAAAUGGGAAUAGGCUAUCAGGCAAUAUCCCAUGGCACUUCGGACAGUUUCAGAACAUGAGGGAGAUGGAUUUGAGCUGGAAUAUCCUUUCUGGCCAAAUACCUUCCGCCCUUGGGAACUUGACAAAUCUCAACGCUCUUAGCCUUUCUGAUAAUCGUCUCUCGGGACCCAUACCUGAAGAGUUAGGACAAAUCCAAAGCCUGCAAAUACUAUACAUGCAAAAAAACAACCUGGAUGGCAUAAUUCCGCCCUCCCUUGGAAACCUCACAUUGCUCAUAUACCUGACGACAUAUCGGAACCAACACACUGGUCCAAUCCCGGUAGAGCUUGGGACGCUCUCGAGCUUGAUUUUGUUGGACUUGUCAAACAACCAUUUAUCCGGUUCAAUUCCUUCUAGUGUUGCUGGAAAUCUUACUUCAUUGACCUAUUUCGCUAUUUCGCGUAACCAAAUAACUGGAUCCAUCCCUCACGAGUUCGGAAAUCUCAUGAAUCUGGAAACCCUCGACCUCUCGGUCAAUUUCAUAGUUGGAUCAAUUCCGUCAAGUAUUGGGAACAUGUCAACACUUAGCCGAAUUGACCUACAUAGCAAUAACCUCUCCAGGGAACUGCCGUUCGAGUUAGGAAAUUUGGCAAAUUUGGAAUCUUUUUCAUCCCCCAUAAACCAAUUGUCUGGCUCAAUCCCUCAAAGUAUCGGAAAACUGACGAGAAUGAAAGAAAUGAGACUAUUCACCAACCACCUCACUGGUCAUUUGCCUUCAUCACUAUCCAACCUUACCAAUUUGGUCGACUUUGAACUCGGUGACAACCAGCUAAUCGGACAGUUGCCAGAGUUAUGCCAAAGUAAAACGCUACAAUUUUUCUCAAUUUCUAAAAACAAUAUUGAUGGUCCUAUCCCAAAAGGCUUGAGGGAUUGCAGUUCACUAACAAGCCUCGGAAUAAAAAAUAAUCAGAUCGAGGGAGACAUAAGUGAAGCAUUUGGGGUAUAUCCACACCUCAAUAUCAUUAGUUUAUUUUCAAACAGGUUUGUAGGCCGGCUUUCGCCAAAAUGGGGCUCGUGUCAAAACUUGACAAGUAUUGAUUUUUCAAACAACAUGAUAGAAGGUAGUAUACCUUCUGAGAUGGGGAAGCUAAAAAAUCUUGCAAUUCUAAAUCUGGGUUUCAAUAGGUUGACCGGUGAGAUACCACCAGAAAUUGGCAAGCUAACUAGCAUGUAUUGGAUGGAUUUAAGAAACAAUCAACUAUCUGGCCAGAUCCCCAAGAAAAUCGGCCAACUUGGCAAUCUGGAGCUUCUUGAUUUCUCAAACAACCUGUUGAGUGGUAAAAUACCAGAAGAGAUUGGGAACUGUUUGAAACUGCAGGCGUUACAGAUGAAUAAGAACAACCUUAGUGGAACUCUUCCUGGUAGUUUGGGUCAUUUAGCUUCCCUGCAAGGAAUGCUUGAUCUUAGUAUGAAUAGUCUCAGUGGACCAAUACCAUCGGAACUAAGCAAACUGGAGAUGCUGAUCUUUGUAAACUUCUCGCACAAUCAAUUCAGUGGUGUCAUCCCUGUCUCCAUUGCAAGCAUGAAAAGCCUAUCAAUAUUUGAUGUAUCAUACAACUUCCUAGAAGGCUCUAUCCCACAAGGGAUCCAAAAUGCAUCAAGUGACUGGUUUCUCCACAACAAAGGUCUUUGUGGAGAUCUUAUUGGCCUAUCUCCUUGUGAUUUGCCUACCGCGGAUCAUAGACGAAAGCAUCAGAAAUUUAUACUAUCAAUCGGUCUUCCUAUGUUUAUCGCUACUAUCUCAAUAGCAGCGAGUGUAAUUGCCCUCCUGAUUUGCCGCAAGAAAGGAUCUAAAAAAACCGACUUUAUGAGCAAAAAGGAUGUAUUCUCUGUAUGGAGCUUUGAUGGUAGAAUGGCAUUUGAAGAUAUUAUUGGUGCAACUGACAAUUUUGAUGAGAAGCAUUGCAUUGGAGAGGGAUCGUAUGGCCGUGUUUAUAAAGCACAACUUCAAGAUGAACAAGUGGUUGCAGUAAAGAAACUCCAUGCAGGUGAUGAAGAGGCACAUGAUGAAGAAAGAUUCCAGCAUGAGAUUGAAAUGUUAACAAAAGUUCGUCAACGCAGCAUCGUCAAGUUGUAUGGCUAUUGUUCUCAUCCACGGUACAGGUUCUUUGUAUGCCAAUUCAUAGAGAGAGGAAAUCUAGCUUCUAUCUUAAGCAAUGAAGAACUAGCAUCCCAGUUCCACUGGGAAAGGAGGAUAGCUCUAAUAAGAGAUGUGGCUCAAGCCAUCACUUACCUCCAUCAUGAUGUUCACCCACCCAUAAUUCAUAGGGACAUCACAAGCAGAAACAUCUUAUUAGAUGUUGACUACAAAGCAUUUGUCUCGGAUUUUGGUAUUGCAAGAAUGUUAAAACCCGAUUCAUCGAAUUGGAGCGCACUAGCGGGGACCUAUGGCUACAUUGCACCUGAAUGUUCAUACACUUCUCUAGUCACGGAGAAAUGUGAUGUAUAUAGCUUUGGUAUUGUGGUGCUUGAGGUGUUGAUGGGCAAACACCCUGGAGAUUUGCAGGCUUUUCAUUCUUCACUCGAGGACCAGUUUCUACUGGAAGAAAUUUUGGACAAACGACUUCCACAACCCGAAGCUGGGGAGGAAGAAGUGAGACGGUGCAUCUCUGUGGCAUUUGAGUGCCUAACUCCUUCACCCAAAGAAAGGCCAACUAUGCUGAAAGUUUAUCGAGAUGUUUCCAUCUGA
This 3111-nucleotide ribosomal RNA is filed under the name Triticum aestivum (bread wheat). RNAcentral describes it as "partial small subunit ribosomal RNA". The record is from RNAcentral. Lineage: Eukaryota; Viridiplantae; Streptophyta; Magnoliopsida; Poales; Poaceae.